Long non-coding RNA from Oreochromis aureus, 2972 nucleotides. RefSeq lists it as uncharacterized. The record is from RefSeq and is a predicted model, not a curated record. NCBI's taxonomy places the organism in Eukaryota, Metazoa, Chordata, Actinopteri, Cichliformes, Cichlidae. The transcript is spliced from 7 exons.
CGCUUUAAACCGGAAAAGAAACCUACUGCCAGAGUUCAUCCCAAAGAGGAAAAAUCUCGACGAAAGAGUGAUAACAAAUUCCUAGACGGGACCAUCACACCAAAGAGACAUGGCCUCUCUGAAUGGCUUUGACAAGUAGUUGGCUGAGCAGGUUGCCCUUUAUCCCAACCUGUACGAUCCAGAUCAUGAGUUUUACAUGAACAAACGGAUUAACGCUUGUUAUCGUGGCGAGAAAUCACAAACAAGCUUGCGGAACCGUUUUAUCCGAGCCAGGAAAAAGGCGGAAUGCGGUUCCGCGAACGCCUCACUGUUGUUAGAAUCGCUGUCAUGGCUGGUGGACUUUGUUAAAUACAAGACGAUGGAGGCAGAAAUUCAGAGGAUGUCUUUAACCCAACCUGCAAAAAUCCAAAUAGACGUUAUGAGAUUGUGUGAAGAGGUGCAACGUUGCCCGUGUCUUUAUGAUGGGUCCUUAACACAUAAUAGAGACGUGGAAAAGGACAGCAAUUUGUGGAGGGAAAUUGCAAAGAAUUUGGGAGUGAGUGAAAGUGCUGGUCGGAUAAAGUGGAAAUCUUUAAGAGACAAGCUUGUGAAGACAAAGAAGAGGCUGCAGCUGAAGAGAAGAAGCUGUGCAACCUUGCUUCUGCUUCCCAUAUAUAUUCCUUGAUGGGCUGGCUCUCUGACUUUGUGAGCCCAUGGGAGUUAAAUUCCAAGUCUGCAGAAGAGGCAAUGUCGAUUAUCUUUGAAGGCAGAGGAAGGCAGUGAUACAGUCACCCUCCUCCAGAAAACUGUUGAUUUCAGCGAUUCGCCACACCGCUCAACAGCAUCACCUACAGAGGGGUCGCCAUCUCCACUCAAUCCCUCCUACUCAGCAUCAACAACUGUCGUGAAAAAAUCCUCAUCCGCGACCACUGAGGAUUUUAUUCAAAACAAACUCCAGGAGAUUAAGAAGAUUAUUAAGAAGGCCAAAGAAGAUCAGAGGAAGAGGCAAGACUUGGGUAUGAUGUUUGUGAUGGGUACAGGUCCAAGGGGUGCAUUUAUUUGAACUGUAGUAUUAAUGAGCUUCAACAUUACUGGUUCUGCUCAUGUGAUUUGAUAAAAAAGGAUAUAUAUUUUUAUUUUAUUGUUCUUAUUUCAUGAAUUUAUCUUACUAUUUCUGUCUCGGCUGAAUUCUCUCUCGAGGCCUGUGUGCAAUGAACAAGGGCAACUCUGAAGUAGCUUUUGACACACAGACUGUGCUGACAGUAACAAUUGCAGCGUCCAUAAACAUUUAAAAGUGUGGUCACAAUUGAGCUCUUGCACCAUAAGUGGAACAUGUUUGUAUAGCUGCGUCUGUGUGGUUUAACAUGUGGGAAGAAGCUUCUACAAAUCUGUGCCACUACAUGGUGAAAUUUUGUGGCAUAUCAAUACAGCCACAGUAUUGUGUUAAUUUGCAAUAUUGUAUCAAUACAGGGACACCAGAUAUCAAUAUUUCAUUAAAUAAAUUAGAAUACUGUGGAAAUACAGUGAAAAGAGCACAAGUGCACCGAUAUCCUAGGAUAACGCUAGCCGAGCAAACUUGGAUUAAAUCGUCAGAACUGAAAAAUCACCCAACACUGAGUCGAUGAUUUAUCACUGUUCAUUCCAUUUAACUGCGGAUGGCAAGAAUUUAUGACAGUGUUGGUUAUGUUUGACAGUCUCAUUUUGCAGCGUAAUGAUUAAAGUGAGAAAACAUUAUCUUAUUGGAUAAAACGCAUAUUGACGAAGUUUAGUUUUGAGGGCAUAAUUUGCAGUCGGAAAAAAAAGGUGAUAAAUCGCAGUAUUCGUUAUUGCAGAACUCGCCGUAUAGUGGCGUGGCUGAUGAUUGUGGUGUAAGGUGAUAAUGUGGUGUUUGUCAGAUUUCCAUCUUCCCCUGUCCUCCCUGAACCUCUAGGUUCCGCCUUUCAGGCUGAUAUCAGCGUGUAUGUGGCAGGUUGCUCAGGAGAGAAAAUAGGGGAGUAGGAAAACUGUACAAAUUCAUCUCACUGGUGUCAGAGAUGGUCCCAGACCUUCUGGGCUACAAACAUAAGACUCAGCUGAUCCUUGGACUGAGGGCCCAGCUCAUUCUUGAAAUACUGAAGAAGAUGAAUGAUGGUGACAGUUUCCAGCAGAAUACAACAAACCACGUGGAUGCAGAAGUAAGAUGCAGUGUAAUAAGCGUCUUAGUUUGACAUGUUUUGCACUAUAAAAGUGAUUUUGCUGUCAAAUUUAGAUGCUGAUAUUACUGUUUAUUGUAUGUAAAUAUACCUUUUGGCUUUGUGAGAGUAACAAGAUGAAGAGGUGGAGAUUUCAAAGUCACCGUUCGUGGAUCUCAUUCAAAUGCUACUUCGAGAUCAGUCGUUGGGAGUUCUUCUAUCGACUGGAAGAGUUGUGCCCAGUGCCAAGUUUCUCAGGUGUCUUCCAUGUUUGUAUUGGAUCCUCUGGACUACAAGCCUGAGAAGUUUGUCCCUAAUCUAGAGGAUCUGAAGCGACUUUUGCAGCAUCAAAAGCAGCAGCAGAAGUUAUCCAAAAGUAACUUCACCUUCACAUCAGACACUAUCCUCUCCAUGCUCACAUCACAACAAACGUCAGUGACCUCUGCACUCCACAUCUAUCAAAAAAUACAAGUGGGACAGCUGGUGAAGUAGCCUUCCAGUCAUUCCAGUAUUCACAGAGCUUAAUGGAAAAUCUGGAUUUCUGGGGAAUCGAGAAGUUUGCUGAAGAGAGCACCAUCGAGUCUUCUCCAUUCAGCGAGAACAAUGCAAAUAAACACGUCUGUUCGGACUGUGGCAAGACUUUUCCAUCUUCAGCCAGACUGAAAUACCAUGAUUUGACUCACUCUUCAGUUAAGCCAUUGAUGAUGAUGAUGAGAGAUGAGAUAGCCUUUAUUUGUCAGUUGCAGUUCUUUUGUCCACAACCGAGAUGACAGACCUUGCCGAUCGUACAUACAAUACACAAACAUCACAUUGGGGAGACAG